CAAAGGGAUUACCGGUGGCGGAUGGGCAUGCGGCGCAUUAGCUAGUCGGCGGGGUAACGGCCCACCGAGGCGACGAUGCGUAGGGGUUCUGAGAGGAAGGUCCCCCACACUGGUACUGAGACACGGACCAGACUCCUACGGGAGGCAGCAGUGAGGAAUAUUGGUCAAUGGGCGCGAGCCUGAACCAGCCAAGUCGCGUGAGGGAUGACGGUCCUACGGAUUGUAAACCUCUUUUGCCGGGGAGCAAGCGUGCGUUCGUGAACGCGCGUCGAGAGUACCCGGAGAAAAAGCAUCGGCUAACUCCGUGCCAGCAGCCGCGGUAAUACGGAGGAUGCGAGCGUUAUCCGGAUUUAUUGGGUUUAAAGGGUGCGUAGGCGGGAUGCCAAGUCAGCGGUAAAAGUGCGGUGCUCAACGCCGUCGAGCCGUUGAAACUGGCGUUCUUGAGUGGGCGAGAAGUAUGCGGAAUGCGUGGUGUAGCGGUGAAAUGCAUAGAUAUCACGCAGAACUCCGAUUGCGAAGGCAGCAUACCGGCGCCCUACUGACGCUGAGGCACGAAAGCGUGGGUAUCGAACAGGAUUAGAUACCCUGGUAGUCCACGCAGUAAACGAUGAAUGCUAACUGUCCGGCUCGAAUGAGCGCUGG
Molecule: ribosomal RNA, 642 nt
Filed under: uncultured bacterium
Lineage: Bacteria
Description: bacterial SSU rRNA
Rfam family: Bacterial small subunit ribosomal RNA
Source: RNAcentral